This is a long non-coding RNA of Helianthus annuus (common sunflower), 2472 nucleotides long. RefSeq lists it as uncharacterized. The transcript has 6 exons. The record is from RefSeq and is a predicted model, not a curated record. NCBI's taxonomy places the organism in Eukaryota, Viridiplantae, Streptophyta, Magnoliopsida, Asterales, Asteraceae.
UUAAGCAAUAGGAAGAACACCGUACUGCAGCGUGACGACUGGACUCGUGCCGACGCAACAACAACAGCCUCGUCUCAACGAAUCCGAAUCGUAUCACGUGAUUAACUUAUUGAGAUCAACCUAGGGUUUCCAUGAAUCACUGACCAGUGUGUUGCCCACAAUGAAAUCUUCAGCCAGGCGAACGAACAAGAAUGCAACCAUUCAUCAAUGAAGUUUUUAUUACAAGGUAGGUCAAAAGUCCACAGUUAUUGAAUGCUACUAAUGUGAAACCCUGUAAAUUGAAUUAAAUCUGGUGCUCGCUCCUCCUUCGUUCUCUCUCUUUCUCUCAAAUCCCCUAAUGGAGUUCUGGUUCAGUGGAGUUCAAGAGACGUCAGCUGUAGCGCAUCCGGUGCUGGAUUUGUUUCUACGGCUAACAACGAACAGUAGCGGAGUGGGGUUCCGGUUAGUCGUACAGUCGGAACACCACUAACCCUAAUUUCAAUCGGUUCUUGGCGAUGACCGUGGUUGUGGUGAUCUCUGCAUCCCAUCACAGGGAGGUAAUUCGUGUAGAAUUCUGAAUUGUAUUCUAGCAGUCAAAUCCUACAAUGAGUGGAAACAAACAGGUUGAAGUUGAGCAGGAUCCAAUAGGUUUUGAUAUAAAUGCUUCUAAGCCGUUUUAGCCUAUUUGGUCAAGGAAGUAGGGGAGAUUUGAAAAAGGGAUUGGGAAAGGUGGAGGCUAUUGUAUUAUGGAUUCAAUAAAGGAUGGGAGUUAUUGAUUAAGGGGCAUUUUGGGGAUUAUGGGAAGUGGUUAUUUAUUGAACCAGGAAUAAUAGACAGUUAAUGAUGUUCUGUUAGAGGGUAAGGGUUACUUUGUUUUAGAUGAUUGGAAGGGUGUUUGGUUGUGUUAUUUUGGGGAUAUAUGCUUCUGCGGGUUGGAAAUCAGUAGGUGGAAUUAUUGUCUUAUAUGGUUGGUUUGGCUACAAAUGUUGGGUGUGUUUGCUGUGUUUUUGAGGGUGGUGUGAUUGUUAAAGGCUGCAAGUUACUUGUGGAAUUUGUUGGGAGAUCAGGCAGAUGCUAAGGGUCAUUGCAAUAUGGAACUGGAGCAAAUUGGCAGAUGAGAUUGUAGAUUACAUGUUGGAUGGGCUGGGAGUCUAAUGUGCCGGGGCUGCUGAAUAUGUAUGCAAAUUUGCUGGCUGUUGGUUUGUUUUUUUUUUCCUAUUUUGUUUGCUUGUCUUUGAAUUUGAGGGUGGUCGUUUGGCAAACGGGUCGGGUCAGGUCAGGUUCGGGUCAAAACAGGUCAAUUAAAAAAAGUAUUGUUUUGGUUUGGGUCAAAAUGAGUUCGGGCCAGAACGGGUUUCGGGUCGGAUAGGGUCGGGUCGUGUCGGGUUGGUAAAAAUAAUUUUUUUAAAGUGAUUGUACAUCAAGGGGCAAUUUUGUCGGGUGAAUAAUGUACCUACUUUGUACAAAAAAUAUAAACAAGAAUGAAUAUCAACAACUCUGAUCUCAUUGAUAACUAAUGAAUUAUUCUAUCGAUUAAAAAAUACAAACAAGCAUGAAUAUCAACAGCUCUGAUCUCAUUGAUGCAAAGCUUGAAGAACAUCAGUUAUGUGGAUCCAAACACUGUCCUGGAUGCGGUCAUCGACUUGAAGGAAAACCGGAUUGGAUGGGUCUACCAGCAGGAGUGAAAUUUGAUCCGACGGACCAACAAAUGAUCAAACAUCUUGAAGCCAAAGUUGAAGCCAAGAAGUUUAAAUCGCACCCGUUGAUUGAGGAAUUCAUCCCUACGAUUGAAGGCGAAGACGGGAUUUGGUUCGCGUCGAAACGGUUCGCAUCGAAACGAUUCAAUUCGAAACGAUACUGAUCGAAACAGUACGGGUCAAAACAGUAUUGGUCGAAACACCUUAAUAGUGAUUGCCACUCCCUCCACCCUAAUGACAUGAUACUAUUGGCUAGAGCAUAGUUUUUGUAAUUAAUGCAGGCAUAUCAUUUAUUUAUGGUAUCCAAAAAAAUUAAUAAAAUAUGUGCUCUUAAAUUUGUUCUACCCCCUCAGUUAGAAAUAAUAUGCUUCCCAUAUUGACCCGCUAUUUGACUUGAUUGCUAAUGCAUCAACAGUUAUUAUUUUCACAAGGUAAAAUAGGCGAAUGGAAAUGGAAGCGAACCCAUACUAAAUAUGCAUAAUCUGAACGGGGUUGAUAUUGACCAUGCUUCAAGACCAGCAGAAUUCGGUCAAAGUUCUCAAAUCACCAUGGCUCCACAGAGUCCAUAUGUGGAAAGCUCCAAAAUUUUGCUGGUGUAGGAAAUUUUCCUUUUCUAAUGCCAAUAACCUGGGGCCCAAAGAAACCAGUGAAGUUGCAGGGUUGAGGUGAAAUGGUAUAACUAUAAAUAGUGAUCUCAUUCUAUUUUGAGUGAAUUUUUAAGUUUUGAUUGAAUUCAUGAAAUUUGAGCUUUCUUAAUGACAUGGUUUUGUACUAUUUUGAUACAUUUACAGAUAUU